AGCAAUCGACAUAUGGUGCGCUGUGCCAAGCCAAAAUGACUGCCGUCAAUGUGAACACUACUUGUCAUUUUCACAAAGCGC
Long non-coding RNA from Drosophila innubila, 81 nucleotides. RefSeq lists it as uncharacterized. The transcript is spliced from 3 exons. The record is from RefSeq and is a predicted model, not a curated record. Lineage: Eukaryota; Metazoa; Arthropoda; Insecta; Diptera; Drosophilidae.